UGGGGAAUUUUGGACAAUGGGGGAAACCCUGAUCCAGCCAUCCCGCGUGUGCGAUGAAGGCCUUCGGGUUGUAAAGCACUUUUGGCAGGAAAGAAACGUCAUGGGUUAAUACCCCGUGAAACUGACGGUACCUGCAGAAUAAGCACCGGCUAACUACGUGCCAGCCGCCGCGGUAAUACGUAGGGUGCAAGCGUUAAUCGGAAUUACUGGGCGUAAAGCGUGCGCAGGCGGUUCGGAAAGAAAGAUGUGAAAUCCCAGAGCUCAACUUUGGAACUGCAUUUUUAACUACCGGGCUGGAGUGUGUCAGAGGGAGGUGGAAUUCCGCGUGUAGCAGUGAAAUGCGAAGAUAUGCGGAGGAACACCGAUGGCGAAGGCAGCCUCCUGGGAUAACACUGACGCUCAUGCACGAAAGCGUGGGGAGCAAACAGG
This 429-nucleotide ribosomal RNA is filed under the name Acidobacteriota bacterium. RNAcentral's name for it is "Acidobacteria bacterium partial 16S ribosomal RNA". It matches the Rfam family "Bacterial small subunit ribosomal RNA", at positions 355 to 776 of the family's 1533-position model. Lineage: Bacteria; Pseudomonadati; Acidobacteriota. The record is from RNAcentral.